AUAUUUGUAUGGAUACUUUGCGGCUAGUGGUGCAGGCAGGUUAUACCCAAUAAAAUCAAAUCUAACGAAAGUGUUAGUGGUCAUACCACCCAUCUAAGUGGUAAUUAAUCUCUUCGGUCAGAGCACUGCUAGGCUAAAGCAAGAGCACAUGCAUACAGAGUAUAUUCGACCGCCAAAUUUUCCACUUAAUUUCCCUCCAUGUUUACUUUGCAUUCUUCA
RNAcentral lists this long non-coding RNA (219 nucleotides) under Setaria italica (foxtail millet). Its description in RNAcentral is "long non-coding RNA (SITA_LNC001133)". The record is from RNAcentral. Lineage: Eukaryota; Viridiplantae; Streptophyta; Magnoliopsida; Poales; Poaceae.